Molecule: ribosomal RNA, 485 nt
Filed under: uncultured bacterium
Lineage: Bacteria
Description: partial 16S ribosomal RNA
Rfam family: Bacterial small subunit ribosomal RNA
Source: RNAcentral
AGUGAACGCUGGCGGCGUGCUUAACACAUGCAAGUCGAACGAGAACGGAUUAUAGCUUGCUAUAAUUGUCAGCUAAGUGGCGCACGGGUGAGUAAUGUAUAGGUAAUAUGCCUCUUACUAAGGGAUAACAAAUGGAAACGUUUGCUAAUACCUUAUACUCCUUAUUAACAGAAGUUAAUAAGGGAAAGAUGUUAUUGGUAAGAGAUUAGCCUGUAUUGUAUCAGUCAGUUGGUGGGGUAAUGGCUUACCAAGACUAUGACACAUAACUGGUUUGAGAGGAUGAUCAGUCACACUGGAACUGAGACACGGUCCAGACUCCUACGGGAGGCAGCAGUGGGGAAUAUUGCACAAUGGACGAAAGUCUGAUGCAGCAACGCCGCGUGGAGGAUGACUCAUUUCGGUGCGUAAACUCCUUUUAUAUGAGAAGAUAAUGACGGUAUUAUAUGAAUAAGCACCGGCUAACUCCGUGCCAGCCGCCGCGGUAA